RNAcentral lists this ribosomal RNA (460 nucleotides) under uncultured bacterium. RNAcentral describes it as "partial 16S ribosomal RNA". It matches the Rfam family "Bacterial small subunit ribosomal RNA", at positions 338 to 795 of the family's 1533-position model. The record is from RNAcentral.
CCUACGGGAGGCAGCAGUGAGGAAUAUUGGUCAAUGGACGAGAGUCUGAACCAGCCAAGUAGCGUGAAGGAUGACUGCCCUAUGGGUUGUAAACUUCUUUUAUAAAGGAAUAAAACGCGGCACGUGUGCCUUUUUGCAUGUACUUUAUGAAUAAGGAUCGGCUAACUCCGUGCCAGCAGCCGCGGUAAUACGGAGGAUCCGAGCGUUAUCCGGAUUUAUUGGGUUUAAAGGGAGCGUAGAUGGGUUGUUAAGUCAGUUGUAAAAGUUUGCGGCUCAACCGUAAAAUUGCAAUUGAUACUGGCAGUCUUGAGUACAGUUAAGGUAAGCGGAAUUCGUGGUGUAGCGGUGAAAUGCUUAGAUAUCACGAAGAACCCCGAUUGCGAAGGCAGCUUACUAAACUGUGACUGACAUUGAUGCUCGAAAGUGUGGGUAUCAAACAGGAUUAGAUACCCUUGUAGUC